GAUGAAGAACGUAGCGAAAUGCGAUAAGUAAUGUGAAUUGCAGAAUUCAGUGAAUCAUCGAGUCUUUGAACGCACAUUGCGCCCCCUGGUAUUCCGGGGGGCGUGCCUGUCCGAGCGUCAUUGCUGCCCUCAAGCACGGCUUGUGUGUUGGGCCGUCGUCCCCCUCCUAGGGGACGGGCCCGAAAGGCAGCGGCGGCACCGCGUCCGGUCCUCGAGCGUAUGGGGCUUCGUCACCCGCUCCGUAGGCCCGGCCGGCGCUUGCCGACGACCAUCAAUCUCUUUCUCCAGGUUGACCUCGGAUCAGGUAGGGAUACCCGCUGAACUUAAGCAUAUCAAUAAGCGGAGGA
RNAcentral lists this unclassified non-coding RNA (347 nucleotides) under soil metagenome. Its description in RNAcentral is "partial contains 5.8S ribosomal RNA, internal transcribed spacer 2, and large subunit ribosomal RNA". The stretch from base 1 to 120 matches the Rfam family "5.8S ribosomal RNA", at positions 35 to 154 of the family's 154-position model. The record is from RNAcentral.